RNAcentral lists this ribosomal RNA (1803 nucleotides) under uncultured Symbiodinium. RNAcentral's name for it is "partial Bacterial large subunit ribosomal RNA". It matches the Rfam family "Bacterial large subunit ribosomal RNA", at positions 1 to 1977 of the family's 2925-position model. Lineage: Eukaryota; Dinophyceae; Suessiales; Symbiodiniaceae. The record is from RNAcentral.
UCUUAAGAGCAUUUGGUGGAUGCCUCGGUGUCGAGAGGCGAAGAAGGACGUGGCACUCUGCGAUAAGCCGCGGGGAGAUGAGAGCAAUCUUUGAUCCGCGGAUUUCCGAAUGGGGAAACCCGGCCCUUUAGGGUCAUCGUACGGUGAAUCCAUAGCCGUGCGAGGCGAACCCGGGGAACUGAAACAUCUCAGUACCCGGAGGAAAGGACAUCAACCGAGACUCCGCUAGUAGUGGCGAGCGAACGCGGACCAGGCCAGUGGCCAGAGAGUAAGAACCGGAAGCGUCUGGAAAGGCGCGCCUUAGUGGGUGAUAGCCCCGUACGGGUAGAAAGCUCUUUGGUCCUCGAGUAGGGCGGGACACGUGAAAUCCUGCCUGAACGUGGGGGGACCACCCUCCAAGCCUAAGUACUCCUGUGCGACCGAUAGUGAACCAGUACCGUGAGGGAAAGGUGAAAAGCACCCCGACGAGGGGAGUGAAACAGUUCCUGAAACUGGAUGCCUACAAACAGUUGGAGCCCAAGGUUCGUCCUGGGUGACAGCGUACCUUUUGUAUAAUGGGUCAGCGAGUUAAUUUUGCGAGCAAGCUUAAGCCGUUAGGUGUAGGCGUAGCGAAAGCGAGUCUUAAUAGGGCGACUAAGUUUGUUGGAUUAGACCCGAAACCGAGUGAUCUAGGUAUGAGCAGGUUGAAGGUGCAGUAACAUGCACUGGAGGACCGAACCCACGCCUGUUGAAAAAGGCGGGGAUGACUUGUGCCUAGGGGUGAAAGGCCAAUCAAACUCGGAAAUAGCUGGUUCUCCGCGAAAUCUAUUUAGGUAGAGCGUUAGAUGAAUACCAUCGGGGGUAGAGCACUGGAUGGGCUAGGGGGGCGCGAGCCUUACCAAACCUAACCAAACUCCGAAUACCGAGAAGUCCAGUCCGGCAGACAGACCGUGGGUGCUAAGGUCCAUGGUCGAGAGGGAAACAGCCCAGACCGCCAGCUAAGGUCCCCAAGUCACGGCUAAGUGGGAAAGGAUGUGGGAAGGCCAAGACAACCAGGAGGUUGGCUUAGAAGCAGCCACCCUUUAAAGAAAGCGUAACAGCUCACUGGUCAAGCGUUCCUGCGCGGAAAAUGUAACGGGGCUUAAGUGAUACACCGAAGCUGCGGACUCGAAAGAGUGGUAGCGGAGCGUUCUGUAAGUCUGUGAAGGUGACCUGCGAGGGUUGCUGGAGAUAUCAGAAGUGAGAAUGCUGACAUGAGUAGCGACAAAGAGUGUGAGAAACACUCUCGCCGAAAGUCCAAGGGUUCCUGCGCAAGGCUAAUCCGCGCAGGGUGAGCCGGCCCCUAAGCCGAGGGCGAAAGCCGUAGGCGAUGGGAACCAGGUUAAUAGUCCUGGGCCAGCGGGUGGUGACGGAUGCCGUAAGUUGUCCGGGCUGAUCGGAUUGUCCGGGCAGCGAAGGCGUCCCAGGAAAUAGCCCCCGCGCACGACCGUACCCGAAACCGACACAGGUGGACUGGUAGAGCAUACCAAGGCGCUUGAGAGAACUGCGUUGAAGGAACUCGGCAAAUUGCCCCCGUAACUUCGGGAGAAGGGGGCCCCGGCCUUGGGCAACCAGGGUCGGGGGGCACAGACCAGGGGGUGGCGACUGUUUAUUAAAAACACAGGGCUCUGCGAAGCCGCGCAAGGCGACGUAUAGGGUCUGACGCCUGCCCGGUGCCGGAAGGUUAAUUGAUGGGGUUAGCAUCUGCGAAGCUCUUGAUCGAAGCCCCGGUAAACGGCGGCCGUAACAAUAACGGUCCUAAGGUAGCGAAAUUCCUUGUCGGGU